This 1239-nucleotide ribosomal RNA is filed under the name Triticum aestivum (bread wheat). RNAcentral's name for it is "partial small subunit ribosomal RNA". Lineage: Eukaryota; Viridiplantae; Streptophyta; Magnoliopsida; Poales; Poaceae. The record is from RNAcentral.
AUGUCGGCGUCGUCGGACCCCUCGCCGUCCUCCUCCUCGGCCGCGGCGGCGGCGUCGGCGUCCCCGCUCGCCGCCUACCACGCGCACCCGCACCACCCCCACCCCCACCACCUGCACCUCUCCACGCCGCCGCACGCGUACCCGCCCGCGGCGCCGCCCCCUUCCCCGGCGUCCGCGCCCAGGGACUACCGCAAGGGCAACUGGACGCUGCACGAGACGCUCAUCCUCAUCACCGCCAAGCGCCUCGACGACGACCGCCGGGCGGGCGGGGGCGCGGGCGGCGUGGCCAUGGCGGGCCCGUCCUCGCCGCCCACGCCGCGCUCGGCCGAGCAGCGGUGGAAGUGGGUCGAGAACUACUGCUGGAUCAACGGCUGCCUCCGCAGCCAGAACCAGUGCAACGACAAGUGGGACAACCUCCUCCGCGACUACAAGAAGGUCCGCGACUACGAGACCCGCCGUGCCUCCAUCGCCGCCGCCCCUCCCGUCGACGCCGCCCCGUCAGCGCAGCCGCAGCCGCAGACGCCGCUCCCGUCCUACUGGACCAUGGAGCGGCACGACCGCAAGGAGCGCAACCUGCCAACCAACCUCGCCCCGGAGGUCUACGACGCGCUGCUCGACGUUCUCUCCCGUCGCGCGGCACGCCGGGGCGGCGCCGCGAUCGCGCCCGCGGCUCCAGCCCCGCUCGCCCUGCCGCCUCCACCCCCUCCCCCACCACCGCCACCCUCGCCGCCGAAGCCUCUCCUCAAUCAGCAGCAGCAGCAGCAACAGCAGAAGCAGCACCGUCUUCACCCUCAGCCUCCGCCACUUCUCCAGCUCCCGGCGCCCGUGGCACAGCCGUCGGUGCCGUCGGCGACGUCCGUUUCCGCCGAGGAGGAGAUGACGGGGUCGUCGGAGUCCGGGUCGGACGGCCUGGACCUGGGCGGGAUGUCGGGAGGCGUCGGCGGGAACGGCGACGAGCCGGAGGCGAAGCGGCGGCGGCGGGCGGAGCGGCUGGGGUCGAGCGUGGUGCGGAGCGCGACGGUGCUGGCGCGCACGCUGGUGGCGUGCGAGGACCGGCGGGAGCGGCGGCACCGGGAGGUGCUGGAGCUGGAGGAGCGCCGGCUGCGGCUGGAGGCGGAGCGCAACGAGGUCAGACGGCAGGGCUUCGCGGGCCUCGUGGCCGCCGUCAACGGCCUCUCCGGCGCCAUCCACGCCCUCGUCUCCGACCACCACGGCCGCAGCGGCGACUCCUCCAGGUGA